Molecule: ribosomal RNA, 257 nt
Filed under: uncultured Pseudomonas sp.
Lineage: Bacteria; Pseudomonadati; Pseudomonadota; Gammaproteobacteria; Pseudomonadales; Pseudomonadaceae
Description: partial 16S ribosomal RNA
Rfam family: Bacterial small subunit ribosomal RNA
Source: RNAcentral
CGGCGGACGGGUGAGUAAUGCCUAGGAAUCUGCCUGGUAGUGGGGGACAACGUUUCGAAAGGAACGCUAAUACCGCAUACGUCCUACGGGAGAAAGCAGGGGACCUUCGGGCCUUGCGCUAUCAGAUGAGCCUAGGUCGGAUUAGCUAGUUGGUGAGGUAAUGGCUCACCAAGGCGACGAUCCGUAACUGGUCUGAGAGGAUGAUCAGUCACACUGGAACUAAGACACGGUCCAGACUCCUACGGGAGGCAGCAGCC